UUAAGUUCAGCGGGUAUUCCUACCUGAUCUGAGGUCAACCUUGGAAGAGUUGGGGGGUUUUACGGCGGACCGCACCGCUCUCCGCCCGCGAGUGUUUCACUACUACGCAGAGGAGGCUACGGCGUGGUCGCCACUGUAUUUAGGGGCCGGCCGCCCGUCAGACGGGUGGCCGAUCCCCAACACCGCCCCCGACAGAAGCC
This 200-nucleotide unclassified non-coding RNA is filed under the name Hypocreales sp. RNAcentral's name for it is "partial internal transcribed spacer 2". Lineage: Eukaryota; Fungi; Ascomycota; Sordariomycetes; Hypocreales. The record is from RNAcentral.